RNAcentral lists this non-coding RNA (27 nucleotides) under Homo sapiens (human). The record is from RNAcentral. Lineage: Eukaryota; Metazoa; Chordata; Mammalia; Primates; Hominidae.
UCCAGGGAUGCCUGUGAUGAUGCUGAA